GUGAGGAAUAUUGGACAAUGGGCGCAAGCCUGAUCCAGCCAUGCCGCGUGCAGGAAGACGCAUCUAUGGUGUGUAAACUGCUUUUGUACGGGAAGAAACACUCCCUCGUGAGGGAGCUUGACGGUACCGUAAGAAUAAGGAUCGGCUAACUCCGUGCCAGCAGCCGCGGUAAUACGGAGGAUCCAAGCGUUAUCCGGAAUCAUUGGGUUUAAAGGGUCCGUAGGCGGUUUAAUAAGUCAGUGGUGAAAGCCCAUCGCUCAACGAUGGAACGGCCAUUGAUACUGUUAGACUUGAAUUACAAGGAAGUAACUAGAAUAUGUAGUGUAGCGGUGAAAUGCUUAGAUAUUACAUGGAAUACCAAUUGCGAAGGCAGGUUACUACUUGUGGAUUGACGCUGUUGGACGAAAGCGUGGGGAGCGAACAGGAUUAGAAACCCUGGUAGUCC
RNAcentral lists this ribosomal RNA (445 nucleotides) under uncultured bacterium. RNAcentral describes it as "partial 16S ribosomal RNA". It matches the Rfam family "Bacterial small subunit ribosomal RNA", at positions 354 to 796 of the family's 1533-position model. The record is from RNAcentral.